UGGGGAAUAUUGGACAAUGGGCGCAAGCCUGAUCCAGCCAUGCCGCGUGAGUGAUGAAGGCCCUAGGGUUGUAAAGAUCUUUCACCGGUGAAGAUAAUGACGGUAACCGGAGAAGAAGCCCCGGCUAACUUCGUGCCAGCAGCCGCGGUAAUACGAAGGGUGCUAGCGUUGUUCGGAUUUACUGGGCGUAAAGCGCACGUAGGCGGACUUUUAAGUCAGGGGUGAAAUCCCGGGGCUCAACCCCGGAACUGCCUUUGAUACUGGAAGUCUUGAGUUGUGUAGAGGUGAGUGGAAUUCCGAGUGUAGAGGUGAAAUUCGUAGAUAUUCGGAGGAACACCAGUGGCGAAGGCGGCUCACUGGACCAUUACUGACGCUGAGGUGCGAAAGCGUGGGGAGCAAACAGG
RNAcentral lists this ribosomal RNA (404 nucleotides) under Actinomycetes bacterium. RNAcentral's name for it is "Actinobacteria bacterium partial 16S ribosomal RNA". It matches the Rfam family "Bacterial small subunit ribosomal RNA", at positions 355 to 776 of the family's 1533-position model. Lineage: Bacteria; Bacillati; Actinomycetota; Actinomycetes. The record is from RNAcentral.